Molecule: ribosomal RNA, 232 nt
Filed under: uncultured bacterium
Lineage: Bacteria
Description: partial 16S ribosomal RNA
Rfam family: Bacterial small subunit ribosomal RNA
Source: RNAcentral
GAUCCUGGCUCAGGAUGAACGCUAGCUACAGGCUUAACACAUGCAAGUCGAGGGGCAGCAUGACGAUAGCUUGCUAUUGUUGAUGGCGACCGGCGCACGGGUGAGUAACGCGUAUCCAACCGUUCCCGUUGCUAGGGGAUAACCUUGCGAAAGUAAGACUAAUACCCUAUGAAGUUCUUCGCAGGCAUCUAAAGAGAACCGAAAGAUUUAUCGGCAACGGAUGGGGAUGCGU